AUUGAACGCUGGCGGCAUGCCUUACACAUGCAAGUCGAACGGCAGCGCGGGAGCUUGCUCCUGGCGGCGAGUGGCGAACGGGUGAGUAAUACAUCGGAACGUGUCCGUUUGUGGGGGACAACCAGCCGAAAGGUUGGCUAAUACCGCAUAAGACCUGAGGGUGAAAGCCGGGGACCGCAAGGCCUGGCGCAGACGGAGCGGCCGAUGAUUGAUUAGCUUGUUGGCGGGGUAAAGGCCCACCAAGGCGAAGAUCAAUAGCUGGUCUGAGAGGACGACCAGCCACACUGGAACUGAGACACGGUCCAGACUCCUACGGGAGGCAGCAGUGGGGAAUUUUGGACAAUGGGGGCAACCCUGAUCCAGCCAUGCCGCGUGCGGGAAGAAGGCCUUCGGGUUGUAAACCGCUUUUGUCAGGGACGAAAAGGGACGGGUUAAGAGCUAGUUCCGCUGACGGUACCUGAAGAAUAAGCACCGGCUAACUACGUGCCAGCCGCCGCAGUAA
RNAcentral lists this ribosomal RNA (502 nucleotides) under uncultured bacterium. RNAcentral's name for it is "partial 16S ribosomal RNA". It matches the Rfam family "Bacterial small subunit ribosomal RNA", at positions 29 to 523 of the family's 1533-position model. The record is from RNAcentral.